This 254-nucleotide ribosomal RNA is filed under the name uncultured bacterium. RNAcentral's name for it is "partial 16S ribosomal RNA". It matches the Rfam family "Bacterial small subunit ribosomal RNA", at positions 524 to 776 of the family's 1533-position model. The record is from RNAcentral.
UACGUAGGGCGCAAGCGUUGUCCGGAUUUAUUGGGCGUAAAGAGCUCGUAGGUCGUUUGUUACGUCGGAUGUGAAAACCUGAGGCUCAACCUCAGGCCUGCAUUCGAUACGGGCAAACUAGAGUUUGGUAGGGGGAGACUGGAAUUCCUGGUGUAGCGGUGGAAUGCGCAGAUAUCAGGAGGAACACCAAUGGCGAAGGCAGGUCUCUGGGCCAAUACUGACACUGAGGAGCGAAAGCGUGGGGAGCGAACAGG